RNAcentral lists this unclassified non-coding RNA (387 nucleotides) under Hevea brasiliensis (rubber tree). Lineage: Eukaryota; Viridiplantae; Streptophyta; Magnoliopsida; Malpighiales; Euphorbiaceae. The record is from RNAcentral.
UGAAUUCCUUGAAGAGGUUUUACCAGAGAUGUCAUCCAGUGUUGAGGACCACCAGAAACCACUGCCGAGGUUCGAAGUUAAGUACAGUGCCCCAUCUGCUAAAAUCAAGAACCAGGUAAUUUCCCACGAUGGGAAAAUCCAACAGUGUGUAGAAUAUCAAGGUAGAUUGCAGUGGGUAUGAGUAUCUUGACAAUUGACAUCAAAAUUAAGUUUUGUGGGUUGGGUUGGGUUUCACUAUUAAUCCUGUAGCACUAAUACAUUGUUAGCUCAUACAAAGCUAAUUCCUUUUUAUCAGAUUUGUGGUUCGUAAAUUAUGGCAUGAAUUGUGGAAACCCUGCUCCCACAUUGUAUUAGUAUGUGUAUUACAAAGGCUUUUUACAAUAUCGG